This 383-nucleotide long non-coding RNA is filed under the name Ananas comosus (pineapple). Its description in RNAcentral is "long non-coding RNA (ACOM_LNC028846)". The record is from RNAcentral. Lineage: Eukaryota; Viridiplantae; Streptophyta; Magnoliopsida; Poales; Bromeliaceae.
UUGACUUUUUCAGUCUUAAAUUUAGAAUAACUUUUAAAUACGAUCAGUAUAGUUUCGCACUUUCUCGCUUUAGUACUCUAUGAUUUUAAAUUAUAUCAAAGUUAAGGCGCGUUUGGUUAGAAGUUGGAAUCGGAAUCAGAAUCGGAAUUGAAAUAAGCUGGAAUCGGAAUCGAAAUGACUCAUUACCUAAUUUUGUUUGAUUCGUUACCUGAAUCAGAACUGGAAUAAAUCAUUCCCAUUGUCGGUGUUUGGUUAAGGUAGAUAUAAAAAAUAUAAUCAAAUUAAUAUACUAAAUUUAUCUUUAUAAUAAAUUAAUUUAAAUUCAAACUGAAAAUUAAAUAUUACAAAUUUAUAUCAAAAUUUUGAAAUAAUGUCAAAAUUUU